This is an RNA transcript of Trifolium pratense (red clover), 1427 nucleotides long. It is a transcript of the gene named ABC transporter I family member 11, chloroplastic, with no coding region annotated. The record is from RefSeq and is a predicted model, not a curated record. Lineage: Eukaryota; Viridiplantae; Streptophyta; Magnoliopsida; Fabales; Fabaceae. The transcript has 11 exons.
GACAAAGAAGAAUGAAGAAUCCAAAGUAUAAAAGCCAGAUGUCAUAUUUCUGAACUCUCCCUAACAUUGGCCCCUCCAAUCCCACACUCCCAACCACCAACAAAUCCACCGUCAAUGGCGAACUCUUUCAUUCCACUUUCUCUCUUUCACUCGCAUUUUCCCUCUCUUCCUCAUUGCACCUUCAAAUUCUCCACCACUCGCUGCAAUUACUCGUCUCUUGAAGUUAGAGAUGUUAGUUAUCAACCUCCAGGGACUCAGCUUAAGCUUCUCAAUUCAGUUAAUUUUUCACUUCCUGAGAAAAGUUUAGGUCUAAUUUUCGGACAGAGUGGAAGUGGAAAAACAACUCUCUUGCAGCUCCUUGCAGGAAUAAGCAAACCAACAUCUGGAUCUAUUCACAUUCAAAAAUAUGGGGAUGAUGGGAAUCCUAGUCAAUCUCCAGAGCCCUUGGUGCCGGAAAGGGUUGGUAUUGUCUUCCAGUUUCCGGAGAGGUAUUUUGUUGCUGAUACUGUACUUGAUGAAGUUACUUUUGGGUGGCCAAGGCAAAAGGGUAAUGAUCAAUUAAGGGAGAAUCUUGCUCUAGGGCUUCAGAGGGCAAUUAACUGGGUUGGAUUAGGUGGGAUAUCAUUGGAUACGAAUCCUCAAUCCCUCAGUGGUGGUUACAAGCGUCGCCUUGCUUUGGCAAUACAAUUGGUGCAAAUCCCUGAUUUAUUAAUAUUGGAUGAACCUCUUGCCGGACUUGAUUGGAAAGCACGUGCGGAUAUUGUGAAGCUUUUAAAGCAUCUAAAAAAAAAGUUAACUGUUCUAGUUGUCAGCCAUGACUUGAGCGAGUUUGCAAGUCUAGUUGAUCAAUCAUGGAGGAUGGGAAUGGGUGGCAAUCUUAGACAGGAGCUUCUACCAUUAUAAUUUUUAUUUAUUGCCUUGAUAAUCAGUGUGGAAUGCUACGAGGUCAUAGAAAGGGAUGCUAAGAUCUCACCCCGACACUUAUGAAUUGAACUCUUGCAUUUCUCUAAAUUAUUGAGCAGAGAUAAUAUCUAUUGCUGCCUGAAAGAUCCACAUUAUGUCAAGAAAGCGAUGUGAGUUACUUUUUGCAUGGAGCUGGAGAAAAUUAAAGAGUUGUAAACCUCAGACUUUAACAUUACUAAUAUUUAUGAUUACUAAUCAUUUAUCAUUUGUAAAACAUACAUCAUCCAUGGAGUUGGACGUUCUUAACUCUGGAUUUUACCAUGUCACAUAAAUUUUAGGAACUCAAAGGUUUCCCACAAGAUACCCUACAUCUGAUGCUGUGCAUAAAGAAAUUAUAUUUUAAAUUUUAUAGCAACAUGUUCUUCUACAAGAACAGUUUUUACAUGUUGUAAUUGCUUUGACCUCCCUCCAGCAGUGAUACUUGUUGAAAAUAGGUUCUUACAGUGAAGAUGUUCUCUUUGGUA